This 361-nucleotide unclassified non-coding RNA is filed under the name Pradosia longipedicellata. Its description in RNAcentral is "partial contains external transcribed spacer and 18S ribosomal RNA". Lineage: Eukaryota; Viridiplantae; Streptophyta; Magnoliopsida; Ericales; Sapotaceae. The record is from RNAcentral.
UCCUGUGUUGGUUGCCGAAUGUGACGGAAAUUGACCCCGAGUGAGUCCUAAUUUUCGCCUCUCACCAAUUUGUGGUGUUAGGUUGACGUGGAAGUACUUCUCAUUGUCCUUGAAUGCUCUGCCCUUUCGCAUUGCAAUCAUGGCCCAUGGGUUGCUACCAGUUCCCUCGGAUGCAGAACUUGUGAAGGGUGCACAGUAUGUUUCUGUUGUUUACCCAGAAAGCGUUCGUGGCUCGAUGUGUACGACGGCUGCGCCCGCUUAUGUCCCGUCUUUAACCUAUUCGGACGGGGCCUAUGCGGUGCCGGCGUCACGAAGGAAUGCUACCUGGUUGAUCCUGCCAGUAGUCAUAUGCUUGUCUCAA